Molecule: ribosomal RNA, 465 nt
Filed under: Vreelandella stevensii
Lineage: Bacteria; Pseudomonadati; Pseudomonadota; Gammaproteobacteria; Oceanospirillales; Halomonadaceae
Description: partial 16S ribosomal RNA
Rfam family: Bacterial small subunit ribosomal RNA
Source: RNAcentral
CCUACGGGGGGCUGCAGUGGGGAAUAUUGGACAAUGGGGGCAACCCUGAUCCAGCCAUGCCGCGUGUGUGAAGAAGGCCCUCGGGUUGUAAAGCACUUUCAGUGAGGAAGAACGCCUGGUGGUUAAUACCCGUCAGGAAAGACAUCACUCACAGAAGAAGCACCGGCUAACUCCGUGCCAGCAGCCGCGGUAAUACGGAGGGUGCGAGCGUUAAUCGGAAUUACUGGGCGUAAAGCGCGCGUAGGUGGCUUGAUAAGCCGGUUGUGAAAGCCCCGGGCUCAACCUGGGAACGGCAUCCGGAACUGUCAAGCUAGAGUGCAGGAGAGGAAGGCAGAAUUCCCGGUGUAGCGGUGAAAUGCGUAGAGAUCGGGAGGAAUACCAGUGGCGAAGGCGGCCUUCUGGACUGACACUGACACUGAGGUGCGAAAGCGUGGGUAGCAAACAGGAUUAGAUACCCUAGUAGUC